GAGCGGCGGACGGGUGAGUAACACGUUAGAAUCUGCCCCAAACUGAGGGAUAAGCUCGGGAAACCGAGUCUAAUACCGCAUAUGGUCUUCGGAUUAAAGCCUUCGGGCGGUUUGGGAGGAGCUUGCGUACGAUUAGUUAGUUGGUGAGGUAAUGGCUUACCAAGACUAUGAUCGUUAGCUGGUCUGAGAGGAUGAUCAGCCACACUGGAACUAAGACACGGUCCAGACUCCUACGGGAGGCAGCAGUAGGGAAUUUUCCACAAUGGGCGAAAGCCUGAUGGAGCAAUGCCGCGUGCAGGAUGAAUGUCUUCGGAUUGUAAACUGCUUUUAUGAGGGAAGAUUAUGACGGUACCUCAUGAAUAAGCCUCGGCUAACUCCGUGCCAGCAGCCGCGGUAAUA
This 399-nucleotide ribosomal RNA is filed under the name uncultured bacterium. Its description in RNAcentral is "bacterial SSU rRNA". It matches the Rfam family "Bacterial small subunit ribosomal RNA", at positions 93 to 525 of the family's 1533-position model. The record is from RNAcentral.